UACCAAGGCUGCGAUGGUUAGCUGGUCUGAGAGGGUGAUCAGCCACACUGGAACUGACACACGGUCCAGACAACUACGGUUGGCAGCAGUGAGGAAUUUUGCACAAUGGGGGAAACCCUGAUGCAGCAACGCCGCGUGAGUGAUGAAGGCUUUCGAGUCGUAAAGCUCUGUCAAGUGGGAAGAACCUGCGAGAUGAUAAUACCGUCUCGCACUGACGGUACCACUGAAGGAAGUACCGGCUAACUCCGUGCCAGCAGCCGCGGUAAUACGGGGGGUACUAGCGUUAUUCGGAAUUAUUGGGCGUAAAGGGCGCGUAGGCGGUCUUUUAAGUCAAAUGUGAAAGCCCGGGGCUUAACCCCGGAAGUGCAUUUGAAACUAAGGGACUUGAGUAUGGGAGAGGGAAGUGGAAUUCCAGGUGUAGAGGUGAAAUUCGUAGAUAUCUGGAGGAACACCGGUGGCGAAGGCGACUUCCUGGACCAAUACUGACGCUGAUGCGCGAAGGCGUGGGGAGCAAACAGGAUUAGAUACCCUGGUAGUCCACGCAGUAAACGUUGAACACUAGGUGUAGCGGGUAUUGACCCCUGCUGUGCCGCAGUUAACGCAUUAAGUGUUCCGCCUGGGGAGUACGGUCGCAAGAUUAAAACUCAAAGGAAUUGACGGGGGCCCGCACAAGCGGUGGAGCAUGUGUUUAAUUCGACACACGCGAAGAACCUUACCUGGACUUGACAUCCCGAGAAGUCUUUCGAAAGUUAGAUGUGCCCCUCGGGGAACUCGGUGACAGGUGCUGCAUGGCUGUCGCCAGCUCGUGUCGUGAGAUGUUGGGUUAAGUCCCGCAACGAGCGCAACCCCUAUCUUUAGUUACCAGCAUUCAGUUGGGGACUCUAGAGAUACUGCCCCGGUUAACGGGGAGGAAGGUGGGGAUGACGUCAAGUCCUCAUGGCCCUUAUGUCCAGGGCUACACACGUGCUACAAUGGACUGUACAAAGGGUUGCAAGCCUGCGAGGGUGAGCUAAUCCCAGAAAGCAGUUCUCAGUUCGGAUUGGAGUCUGCAACUCGACUCCAUGAAGUUGGAAUCGCUAGUAAUCGUGGAUCAGCAUGCCACGGUGAAUACGUUCCCGGGCCUUGUACACACCGCCCGUCACAUCAUGAGAGUUGGUUGUACCGGAAGUUGCUGGGCCAACCCUUCGGGGGGGCAAGUACCUAUGGUAUGAUUGAUGAUUAGGGUGAAGUCG
Molecule: ribosomal RNA, 1232 nt
Filed under: metagenome
Description: bacterial SSU rRNA
Rfam family: Bacterial small subunit ribosomal RNA
Source: RNAcentral